AACGAACGCUGGCAGCAUGCCUAACACAUGCAAGUCGAACGAGACCUUCGGGUCUAGUGGCGCACGGGUGCGUAACGCGUGGGAACCUGCCCUUAGGUUCGGAAUAACUCCCCGAAAGGGGUGCUAAUACCGGAUAAUGUCUUCGGACCAAAGAUUUAUCGCCUCUGGUUGGGCCCGCGUUGGAUUCGCUAGUUGGUAGGGUAAAAGCCUACCAAGGCGACGAUCCAAAGCUGGUCUGAGAGGGUGAUCAGCCACACUGGGACUGGGACACGGCCCAAACCCCUGGGGGGGGGGGGAAGGGGGAAAGAGGGACAGGGGGCGAAAGCCGGAUCCGGCAAGGCCGGGAAAGGGGGGAAGGCCUGAGGGUUGAAAAUCUCUUUUACCCGGGAGGUAAAGACCGUAACCGGGAAAAAAGCCCCGGCUAACCCCGUG
RNAcentral lists this ribosomal RNA (432 nucleotides) under uncultured bacterium. RNAcentral describes it as "partial 16S ribosomal RNA". It matches the Rfam family "Bacterial small subunit ribosomal RNA", at positions 29 to 507 of the family's 1533-position model. The record is from RNAcentral.